CGGUUGAUCCUGCCGGAGGACAUUGCUAUUGGGAUUCGAUUUAGCCAUGCUAGUCGAACGAGUUCAGACUCGUGGCGAAUAGCUCAGUAACACGUGGCCAAGCUCCCCUUCAGUCAGCGAUACCCUCGGGAAACUGAGGUUAACAGCUGAUACAAAACGCCAGCUGGAAUGCGGCGUUUCAGAAAGACAUCGCUGAAGGAUGCGGCUGCGGCCGAUUAGGUAGACGGUGGGGUAACGGCCCACCGUGCCAGUAAUCGGUACGGGUGAUGAGAGUCAGAGCCCGGAGACGGAAUCUGAGACAAGAUUCCGGGCCCUACGGGGCGCAGCAGGCGCGAAACCUUUACACUGCACGAAAGUGCGAUAGGGGAAUCCCAAGUGCGAGGGCAUAUUAGCCCUCGCUUUUCUCGACUCUAAGGUGGUCGAGGAAUAAGAGCUGGGCAAGACCGGUGCCAGCCGCCGCGGUAAUACCGGCAGCUCAAGUGAUGUCCCAUAUUAUUGGGCCUAAAGCGUCCGUAGCUGGCCGCGCAAGUCCGUCGGGAAAUCCACCUGCCCAACAGGUGGGCGUCCGGCGGAAACUGUGUGGCUUGGAACCGGAAGGCUCAGAGAGUACGUCCGGGGUAGGAGUGAAAUCCCGUAAUCCCGGACGGACUACCGAUGGCGAAAGCACUCUGAGAAGACGGCUUCGACAGUGAGGGACGAAAGCUCGGGUCUCAAACCGGAUUAGAUACCCGGGUAGUC
RNAcentral lists this ribosomal RNA (738 nucleotides) under uncultured haloarchaeon. Its description in RNAcentral is "bacterial SSU rRNA". It matches the Rfam family "Archaeal small subunit ribosomal RNA", at positions 5 to 746 of the family's 1478-position model. Lineage: Archaea; Methanobacteriati; Methanobacteriota; Halobacteria; Halobacteriales; Halobacteriaceae. The record is from RNAcentral.